Drosophila nasuta is the source of this 973-nucleotide long non-coding RNA. RefSeq lists it as uncharacterized. Lineage: Eukaryota; Metazoa; Arthropoda; Insecta; Diptera; Drosophilidae. The record is from RefSeq and is a predicted model, not a curated record. The transcript is spliced from 5 exons.
UGACAAAAUCGUUGAUUUUCACUUUUAUUUAUCUCUUAGAAGUGAAUAAGCAAUCUAAACAGAUUUUUUUUAAUAAGUGACAUUAAGCUGUACAUGUAUGCAACUGAUUUAUGCAAUUGAGUUAAUCGCUUUAAAAAUAUCGUUUGAAUUUCUUAAAUAAUCCCAUCAUUGCAAUGACGAAUAAUCGAUGUUUUCUUAUCAGUUUAAAUUCAUCAAAAGAAUUAGUAAGGUUUAGUAUUGUGACAAUCAACAAUGGAAAACAUUGAUUUUAAUGUGGAGUACGGCAAUCUUCAAUUGGGUAAUUUUAUAGACGGUGGUAGCUUUGGCGAUGUUUAUAAAGCACAUUGGAGAACUGAAAACAAAGCUAUUGUUGUUAAAAAAUUCGUGGCUUCAUAAACAAUGCAGGAAAUAAUGAAAAAGAAAUUUUAAAUCAAAUUAAAAACAUAAAAGUUCUCAAUCAUCCGAAUAUUUUCUCUAUGGAGUAACAAAAGAUUCCGAAAAUAGAAUUUGCUUUUUGAGUUCGCCGAUUGUGGUUCACCAGCUUCUUGCAUGAAUCGAAUAUAAAAAUAACCCUAGAUUAAAAGCUUAAUUGGAUGAGCCAGAUAGCUAAGGGCAUGGAAUACUUACAUGACCAAAAAAAAGUUCAUCGGGACCUUAAAUCUAAGAACCUUUUGCUUUGCAACAAAUACCGUACGGUGAAAAUAUGUGAUUUUGGCACAAUUAAAGAACUCGCAACGGUUAUACGAAAGGUAUUGGGACAUAUGCUUAUAUGGCUCCAGAAAAAUGCAAUGAAGGAGGGAGUUACACGGAAUGGUGUGAUACUUUUAGCUUUGGCAUUGUUUUGUGGGAUGUAAUGUCUAGGAUGAAGCCCUUUCAUAACUAUGAAUUAAUAGAUGCCAUAGCUAUCCAAAUAAAAAUUAUUAAUGGUGAACGUCCGAACAUAAAUGACAUUAAGAGCUAUACUACUGUGGGC